CGUAGGUGAACCUGCGGAAGGAUCAUUAAUGAGUUGUCAUGGGGUUCGAUGCUGGCAGCCAAUUUUUGGAUGCAUGUGCUUGCCCUAACAAUCAUCUUCCAAACACCUGUGCACAUUUUUUGAGGGAGUCUUGAGUUGGUUGCCGCUCUUGGGUGAUUUUCUCACAUUCCCUUAAAUCAUUAUACGCUAUUAACAAUGUUGAACGUGCUCUGUGCCGCAAGGCUAUUAAUAUAAUACAACUUUUAACAACGGAUCUCUUGGCUCUC
This 266-nucleotide unclassified non-coding RNA is filed under the name plant metagenome. RNAcentral's name for it is "partial contains small subunit ribosomal RNA, internal transcribed spacer 1, and 5.8S ribosomal RNA". The record is from RNAcentral.